CCUACGGGAGGCAGCAGUGAGGAAUAUUGGUCAAUGGACGAGAGUCUGAACCAGCCAAGUAGCGUGAAGGAUGACUGCCCUAUGGGUUGUAAACUUCUUUUAUAAAGGAAUAAAACGAGGCACGUGUGCCUUUUUGCAUGUACUUUAUGAAUAAGGAUCGGCUAACUCCGUGCCAGCAGCCGCGGUAAUACGGAGGAUCCGAGCGUUAUCCGGAUUUAUUGGGUUUAAAGGGAGCGUAGAUGGGUUGUUAAGUCAGUUGUGAAAGUUUGCGGCUCAACCGUAAAAUUGCAAUUGAUACUGGCAGUCGUGAGUACAGUUGAGGUAGGCGGAAUUCGUGGUGUAGCGGUGAAAUGCUGAGAUAUCACGAAGAAGCCCGAUUGCGACGGCAGCUUACUAAACUGUGACUGACAUUGAUGCUCGAAAGUGUGGGUAUCAAACAGGAUUAGAUACCCUGGUAGUC
RNAcentral lists this ribosomal RNA (460 nucleotides) under uncultured bacterium. RNAcentral describes it as "partial 16S ribosomal RNA". It matches the Rfam family "Bacterial small subunit ribosomal RNA", at positions 338 to 795 of the family's 1533-position model. The record is from RNAcentral.